GAGUUUGAUUAUGGCUCAGGAUGAACGCUAGCGAUAGGCUUAACACAUGCAAGUCGAGGGGCAGCAUAAUUUUAGCUUGCUAAGAUUGAUGGCGACCGGCGCACGGGUGCGUAACGCGUAUGCAACCUGCCUGUAAUUAGGGGAUAGCUCGGUGAAAGUCGAAUUAAUACCCUAUAUUCUAUAUUUUUCGCAUGAUUGAUAUAGGAAAGAUUUAUUGAUUACAGAUGGGCAUGCGUUCCAUUAGCUUGUUGGUAAGGUAACGGCUUACCAAGGCAACGAUGGAUAGGGGGACUGAGAGGUUGACCCCCCACACUGGUANUGAGAUCACGGACCAGACUCCUAUCGGGAGGCAGCAGUGAGGAAUAUUGGUCAAUGGGCGCAAGGCCUGAACCAGCCAAGUCGCGUGAAGGACGAGCGGUC
This 420-nucleotide ribosomal RNA is filed under the name Porphyromonas gingivicanis. Its description in RNAcentral is "bacterial SSU rRNA". It matches the Rfam family "Bacterial small subunit ribosomal RNA", at positions 9 to 417 of the family's 1533-position model. Lineage: Bacteria; Pseudomonadati; Bacteroidota; Bacteroidia; Bacteroidales; Porphyromonadaceae. The record is from RNAcentral.